UAAAAUCUCAUGGAGGGCCGAACGCACGUUCGUUGCAAUGACCGGCGAUGACUUGUGGUUAGCGGAGAAAUUCCAAUCGAACUCGGAGAUAGCUGGUUCUCCCCGAAAUAGCUUUAGGGCUAGCGUUAUCUUAGAUUACCGGAGGUAAAGCACUGAAUGGGCUAGGGGGCGAUAAGCUUACUGAACCCUAUCAAACUCAGAAUGCCGGCUAAUUGAUGGAUAGCAGUCAGACAGUGUGAGAUAAGUUUCAUUGUCAAAAGGGAAACAGCCCAGACCCACAGCUAAGGUCCCUAAUGCAUGCUAAGUGGAAAACGAUGUGGAAUUGCGAAAACAACCAGGAUGUUGGCUUAGAAGCAGCCACUCAUUAAAAGAGUGCGUAAUAGCUCACUGGUCGAGUGACUCUGCGCGGAAAAUAUAACGGGGCUAAGCAUGCAACCGAAGCUUGGGAUUGUCUAAAGACAGUGGUAGGGGAGCGUCGUGUACGGGGUGAAGUCUGAGCGGAAGCACAGGUGGACUGUACAGGAGUGAGAAUGCCGGAAUGAGUAGCGAGAAUUAUGUGGGAAUCAUAAUGGCCGAAAAUCUAAGGUUUCUUGGGGAAGGUUCGUCCGCCCAAGGUAAGCCGGGAGCUAAGGCGAGGCCGCAAGGCGUAGUCGAUGCACAUACGGUAGAAAUUCCGUAGCCACCGAACUUUAAACCAGAAGGACACUUGCAGAUAGCGGAACCCAGCCGUUGGUUGAGCUGGGCGAAAGGGACUGAAAUAUAGUAGGGAAGUCCGCGAUGCUGUGAGGCGAGAAAAGCUCUGGUGUAUACUAAGGUGCCCGUACCGCAAACCGACACAGGUAGAUGAGGAGAGAAUCCUAAGGCCAACGGGAGAAGGGUUGUUAAGGAACUCGGCAAAUUGACCCCGUAACUUCGGAAGAAGGGGAGCCUCGAAAGAGGCCGCAGUGAAUAGGCCCAAGCAACUGUUUACCAAAAACACAGGUCUAUGCUAAAUCGAAAGAUGACGUAUAUGGGCUGACGCCUGCCCGGUGCCGGAAGGUUAAGAGGAGAGCUUAGCGCAAGCGAAGGUUUGAAUUGAAGCCCCGGUAAACGGCGGCCGUAACUAUAACGGUCCUAAGGUAGCGAAAUUCCUUGUCAGGUAAGUUCUGACCCGCACGAAUGGCGUAAUGAUUUGGGCACUGUCUCAACAGCCCGCCCGGCGAAAUUGUAGUACUGGUGAAGAUGCCAGUUACCCGCAACUAGACGGAAAGACCCCAUGGAGCUUUACUGUAGCUUAAUACUGAAGAUCGG
This 1290-nucleotide ribosomal RNA is filed under the name metagenome. RNAcentral's name for it is "bacterial LSU rRNA". It matches the Rfam family "Bacterial large subunit ribosomal RNA", at positions 757 to 2127 of the family's 2925-position model. The record is from RNAcentral.